CUCUAUUUAAAAGAACCCACCGACUGGGUAUAGCUCAUUGUCUUUGCAUCGUCACAMCUGAUCAACUGCUGAAAUUGACUGACUCAAAGAACUGACCACCAAGAUGAUGAUGAAGACUGUAAUCUUCCUGGGCUGCCUCCUGGGCCUGUCAUUGGCUCUUCCUGCUGAUGUGGAUCACUUGAGAGUUGCACGUUCCAGCUCUGACUCCAACUCUAACUCAAACUCCAAGGAGGCUGGUGGUUCCUUUCUGCCCUCCCUGCCAAAGUUGAAUUCAAAUCAGCUAAUUCAACUUCUACUUAAACUGUUUGCUGCCUCUGCAUCAGCCCCUGCCCCAGCUCCUGCUCCUGCCCCCAGCCCCUGCCCCAGCCCCUGCUCCUGCCC
Non-coding RNA from Salvelinus sp. IW2-2015, 381 nucleotides. The record is from RefSeq and is a predicted model, not a curated record. NCBI's taxonomy places the organism in Eukaryota, Metazoa, Chordata, Actinopteri, Salmoniformes, Salmonidae.